AUGGCCCCCGCGCCCUCAAGCUCCUGCGCCACCUUGCCUCGCUCGUCCGACCCCAAGACACCACCUUGCACCGCGGUCUUCAUCCGCCAAGGACGCCACGACCCUUCUGUGGAUGCGUCAAAAACUCCUGCCGCGUCUACGAAACCGCCAAGAACGCAUACUGCAACUAUCGGUGUUUUCGAAGACCGCCAAGUACCGCUUUGUCAGACGCUCAAACGACUAUCGCACUGGAACGCCAAGUACAUGGAUAUGCCGAGUUCCCCUUCGACCGUGUACAACUGCUCACGCUAA
Molecule: ribosomal RNA, 291 nt
Filed under: Triticum aestivum (bread wheat)
Lineage: Eukaryota; Viridiplantae; Streptophyta; Magnoliopsida; Poales; Poaceae
Description: partial small subunit ribosomal RNA
Source: RNAcentral